GCGCCGGUAGCUCAGUUGGAUAGAGCACAUGCCUUCUAAGCCUGUUGUCAGGGGUUCGAAUCCCUUUCGGCGCG
RNAcentral lists this transfer RNA (74 nucleotides) under Mycoplasmoides gallisepticum str. R(low). Its description in RNAcentral is "Mycoplasma gallisepticum str. R(low) tRNA". It matches the Rfam family "tRNA". From Rfam's summary of the family: Transfer RNA (tRNA) molecules are approximately 80 nucleotides in length. Their secondary structure includes four short double-helical elements and three loops (D, anti-codon, and T loops). The record is from Rfam by way of RNAcentral. Lineage: Bacteria; Bacillati; Mycoplasmatota; Mycoplasmoidales; Mycoplasmoidaceae.